RNAcentral lists this ribosomal RNA (110 nucleotides) under uncultured bacterium. Its description in RNAcentral is "partial 16S ribosomal RNA". It matches the Rfam family "Bacterial small subunit ribosomal RNA", at positions 1373 to 1482 of the family's 1533-position model. The record is from RNAcentral.
CCCGGGCCUUGUACACACCGCCCGUCACGCCAUGGAAGCUGGGGGGACCUAAAGCCGGUGGGCUAACCGCAAGGGGGCAGCCGUCAAAGGUCAAUUCAGUGACUGGGGCG